Molecule: ribosomal RNA, 253 nt
Filed under: uncultured bacterium
Lineage: Bacteria
Description: partial 16S ribosomal RNA
Rfam family: Bacterial small subunit ribosomal RNA
Source: RNAcentral
UACGUAGGUGGCAAGCGUUGUCCGGAAUUACUGGGCGUAAAGAGCGCGCAGGCGGCUGAUCAAGUCCGAUGUGAAAGCUCCCGGCUUAACUGGGAAAUUGCAUCGGAAACUGAUCGGCUUGAAGGUGGGAGAGGGUAGUGGAAUUCCCGGUGUAGUGGUGAAAUGCGUAGAUAUCUGGAGGAACACCGGUGGCGAAGGCGGCAUCCUGGACCGGCAUUGACGCUGAGGAGCGAAAGCCAGGGGAGCAAACGGG